RNAcentral lists this long non-coding RNA (428 nucleotides) under Panax ginseng (ginseng). Its description in RNAcentral is "long non-coding RNA (PGIN_LNC018077)". The record is from RNAcentral. Lineage: Eukaryota; Viridiplantae; Streptophyta; Magnoliopsida; Apiales; Araliaceae.
UACAUACAAAAGCUGGUAGAAUGAGUCAUUUCAAAAUAAGGGAUCUACUGCCUUUAAUUUGCAAACUGGAAAAGAGAAAACGGAAAAAUAAUGCAGACAUCAAAAAACCAAAAAUAAAAUAAUGGAAAACCUGCAGACCAGGUAAGAUGACAUUGUUGAAGUAUAUACGGAACUUACGCAAAAGCAGUGUAACCAGUACCAGCAUUAGCAGCAGAUAGCAUUGCUGCAGACACAGAGUCCUGCCCUCCCGUGGGCCGUGGCCAAAGAAUUCCUUCGAUCACCAUCCACCUGAACCAAUAAAAAUCAUGAAAUAAUAGUGAAUAAUCACACUAGUACUUUAUAUCUUCAUUUUUAUUUAUGACAGUGGACCGCAGACACUACUCUUAGGAGUUCACUCUAUAAACCACUAGGUGCAAGCAAUAUCCACU